AGGGUUUGAUCAUGGCUCAGGACGAACGCUGGCGGCGUGCUUAACACAUGCAAGUCGAACGAACUCGGACUUCGGUCCAUAUGGGUGAGUGGCGAACGGGUGAGUAACACGUGAGAAACCUGCCCCGAAGUCGGGAAUAACUCAGAGAAAUUUGAGCUAAUACCGGAUGCCCUCUUCUGAUCGCAUGAUCGGAUGAGGAAAGAUUUAUCGCUUUGGGAGGGUCUCGCGACCUAUCAGCUAGUUGGCGAGGUAAUGGCUCACCAAGGCAUCGACGGGUAGCUGGUUUGAGAGAACGAUCAGCCACACUGGAACUGAGACACGGUCCAGACUCCUACGGGAGGCAGCAGUGGGGAAUCUUGCACAAUGGGCGAAAGCCUGAUGCAGCGACGCCGCGUGGGGGAUGAAGGCCUUAGGGUCGUAAACCCCUUUCAGUAGGGAAGAAAAUGACGGUACCUACAGAAGAAGCUCCGGCCAACUACGUGCCAGCAGCCGCGGUAAGACGUAGGGGGCGAGCGUUGUCCGGAUUUAUUGGGCGUAAAGGGCUCGUAGGCGGUUACGUAAGUCGGAUGUGAAAACUCGAGGCUCAACUUCGAGACGCCAUCCGAUACUGCGUUGACUUGAGUCCGGUAGAGGAGUGUGGAAUUCCUAGUGUAGCGGUGAAAUGCGCAGAUAUUAGGAGGAACACCUAUUGCGAAGGCAGCACUCUGGGCCGGUACUGACGCUGAGGAGCGAAAGCAUGGGUAGCAAACAGGAUUAGAUACCCUGGUAGUCCAUGCCGUAAACGGUGGGCACUAGAUGUGGGGACUUUCAACGGUUUCCGUGUCGUAGCUAACGCAUUAAGUGCCCCGCCUGGGGAGUACGGCCGCAAGGCUAAA
Molecule: ribosomal RNA, 875 nt
Filed under: uncultured Actinomycetes bacterium
Lineage: Bacteria; Bacillati; Actinomycetota; Actinomycetes
Description: bacterial SSU rRNA
Rfam family: Bacterial small subunit ribosomal RNA
Source: RNAcentral